GACGAACGCUGGCGGCGUGCUUAACACAUGCAAGUCGAACGGAAAGGCCCUGCUUUUGUGGUGUUCUCGAGUGGCGAACGGGUGAGUAACACGUGAGUAACCUGCCCUUGACUUUGGGAUAACUUCAGGAAACGGGGGCUAAUACCGGAUAGGAGCUCCUGCUGCAUGGUGGGGGUUGGAAAGUCGCGGCGGUUGGGGAUGGACUCGCGGCUUAUCAGCUUGUUGGUGGGGUAGUGGCUUACCAAGGCUUUGACGGAUAGCCGGCCUGAGAGGGUGACCGGCCACAUUGGGACUGAGAUACGGACCAGACGCGUACGGGAGGCAGCAGUGGGGAAUAUUGCACAAUGGGCGGAAGCCUGAUGCAGCAACGCCGCGUGCGGGAUGACGGCCUUCGGGUUGUAAACCGCUUUCGCCUGUGACGAAGCGUGAGUGACGGUAAUGGGUAAAGAAGCACCGGCUAACUACGUG
This 468-nucleotide ribosomal RNA is filed under the name uncultured bacterium. RNAcentral's name for it is "partial 16S ribosomal RNA". It matches the Rfam family "Bacterial small subunit ribosomal RNA", at positions 28 to 507 of the family's 1533-position model. The record is from RNAcentral.